RNAcentral lists this long non-coding RNA (534 nucleotides) under Setaria viridis. RNAcentral describes it as "long non-coding RNA (SVIR_LNC011366)". Lineage: Eukaryota; Viridiplantae; Streptophyta; Magnoliopsida; Poales; Poaceae. The record is from RNAcentral.
AAGAAGAGAUGAAUGCUCUCUCCUGCCGUUGCAACCCAGAACAAUACUUUGUGAGCACAGAACAAGCAACGCACUUCAAUGCAUAUGCAGAUAUGCAUAGACCAUACAUGUUCUUGCUUCACUAAUAUCUGACCAAAUCAUUACAUUUGCUGAUAUGCAUAGACCAUACACUUUCGAGCGACGAUGUCAGCCUGCUGCCCAUCUCCUCAAUCCAUCUGUCGCCUUGCUUGCCUCCUCCUGUGUUGCCCCCUCCAGCGACGAAGACGGGACUCUAGCAGACGGACAGCGCUAGCAGACGCGACCCCCUCGUGGCACUGGUGGACGGACGGGAGAGGGGCGCGCCGACCCCUUCCUGACGCGGGCGCGCCGACCAGGGAGUCGAGCGACGCUCGCGGGCGCGCGAUGCGUCCUGCGCGCGCGACCCAGCAGGGCGCCGACCCGCGGGGGACGUGUGAUGCGAGCGGAGGGACCGCGAUGCGGUCAUGCUGCCCGCGCGCCUCCAGGAGCUCGAUGCGGAUGCGGAAUCGGUCCUGG